GUCUACAGCAAUACCACGCUGAACGCACCCAAUCUCGUCUGAUCUUGGAAGCUAAGGUGGGUCAGGUCUGGUUAGUACUUGGAUGGCAGAAAUUCACAGACUGAAAGUCAGAGGAUGGAAAAU
Molecule: ribosomal RNA, 123 nt
Filed under: Chinchilla lanigera (long-tailed chinchilla)
Lineage: Eukaryota; Metazoa; Chordata; Mammalia; Rodentia; Chinchillidae
Source: RNAcentral